This 474-nucleotide ribosomal RNA is filed under the name uncultured bacterium. RNAcentral describes it as "bacterial SSU rRNA". It matches the Rfam family "Bacterial small subunit ribosomal RNA", at positions 335 to 801 of the family's 1533-position model. The record is from RNAcentral.
ACUCCUACGGGAGGCAGCAGUAGGGAAUCUUCCACAAUGAGCGCAAGCCUGAUGGAGCAACACCGCGUGAGUGAAGAAGGGUUUCGGCUCGUAAAGCUCUGUUGUUAAAGAAGAACACGUAUGAGAGUAACUGUUCAUACGUUGACGGUAUUUAACCAGAAAGUCACGGCUAACUACGUGCCAGCAGCCGCGGUAAUACGUAGGUGGCAAGCGUUAUCCGGAUUUAUUGGGGCGUAAAGAGAGUGCAGGCGGUUUUCUAAGUCUGAUGUGAAAGCCUUCGGCUUAACCGGAGAAGUGCAUCGGAAGCUGGAUAACUUGAGUGCAGAAGAGGGUAGUGGAACUCCAUGUGUAGCGGUGGAAUGCGUAGAUAUAUGGAAGAACACCAGUGGCGAAGGCGGCUACCUGGUCUGCAACUGACGCUGAGACUCGAAAGCAUGGGUAGCGAACAGGAUUAGAUACCCUGGUAGGAUAGCG